GCGACGCCCCGUGAGGGAUGACGGCCUUCGGGUUGUAAACCUCUUUCACAGGGAAGAAGCGAAAGUGACGGUACCUGCAGAAAAAGCGCCGGCUAACUACGUGCCAGCAGCCGCGGUAAUACGUAGGGCGCGAGCGUUGUCCGGAAUUAUUGGGCGUAAAGAGCUCGUAGGCGGCUUGUCGCGUCGGUUGUGAAAGCCCGGGGCUUAACCCCGGGUCUGCAGUCGAUACGGGCAGGCUAGAGUUCGGUAGGGGAGAUCGGAAUUCCUGGUGUAGCGGUGAAAUGCGCAGAUAUUUUUGAGGAACACCGGUGGCGAAGGCGGAUCUCUGGGCCGAUACUGACCCUGAGGAGCGAAAGCGUGGGGAGCGAACAGGAUUAGAUACCCUGGUAGUCCACGCCGUAAACGGUGGGCACUAGGUGUGGGCGACAUUCCACGUCGUCCGUGCCGCAGCUAACGCAUUAAGUGCCCCGCCUGGGGAGUACGGCCGCAAGGCUAAAACUCAAAGGAAUUGACGGGGGGCCCGCACAAGCGGCGGAGCAUGUGGCUUAUUUCGACGCAACGCGAAAGAACCUUACCAAGGCUUGACAUACACCGGAAAACCCUGGAGACAGGGUCCCCCUUGUGGUCGGUGUAC
RNAcentral lists this ribosomal RNA (634 nucleotides) under Streptomyces werraensis. RNAcentral's name for it is "bacterial SSU rRNA". It matches the Rfam family "Bacterial small subunit ribosomal RNA", at positions 391 to 1035 of the family's 1533-position model. Lineage: Bacteria; Bacillati; Actinomycetota; Actinomycetes; Kitasatosporales; Streptomycetaceae. The record is from RNAcentral.